GCACCUACCGAUUGAAUGGUUCGGUGAAAAUCUCGGACUCCGGCUUGGAUGCCUUCGGGCAACCAAGCUGUGGAAAGUUGUUUAAACCUCAUCAUUUAGAGGAAGGUGAAGUCGUAACAAGGUUUCCGUAGGUGAACCUGCAGAAGGAUCAAUCCCGCAAGAGCUUCGUUUAGGUUAAGUGUCUAUUUCUCUGUGUUCUCCUUAUCAUUUCCUAUCUCUUCUUUUCCUUUCUCUUUCUUUUCUCUUCCUUUCCCCUCCUUCUCUCCCUCUUUCUCUU
This 277-nucleotide unclassified non-coding RNA is filed under the name sea anemone metagenome. RNAcentral describes it as "partial contains small subunit ribosomal RNA and internal transcribed spacer 1". The stretch from base 1 to 154 matches the Rfam family "Eukaryotic small subunit ribosomal RNA", at positions 1678 to 1831 of the family's 1831-position model. The record is from RNAcentral.